This 219-nucleotide long non-coding RNA is filed under the name Trifolium pratense (red clover). Its description in RNAcentral is "long non-coding RNA (TPRA_LNC010336)". Lineage: Eukaryota; Viridiplantae; Streptophyta; Magnoliopsida; Fabales; Fabaceae. The record is from RNAcentral.
AAUUAUUUUUUUUAUAAAAUUGCGUUAUUGGUUCAGUGGUUUGAGAAAUCAUUUUGUUCUUCAAGUGCAUGGGUUGGAAUCUUCGUAUUGAAAAUGAAUUUUUUAAGAGAAAAGAAACAAAGAAUAAAAAAAUCAUAAAAAAUGGGGUUGGAGGGAGUAGAACACACAACCUCCAGUUGUAAGGCGUGCUGGUUUCUCCUGGGAACCACUAGGACACGC